AAGUCGUAACAAGGUAACCGUAGGUGAACCUGCGGUUGGAUCAUUAAAUUGAAAAAGAGAGAGAAGAAAUUCUCUUGAUUUUAAACAUUUAGAGAUAAUUGAAUGUUUUUUUGUGGAGAGAAGAAGAGAUUCUUUUUUCCACAAAUUUAAAUAAACCAUAUAUUUAUUAUUAUUAUUAUAAAAUAAAAAAAAACAACUUUUGACAACGGAUCUCUUGGCUCUCGUAACG
RNAcentral lists this unclassified non-coding RNA (229 nucleotides) under fungal sp. RNAcentral's name for it is "partial internal transcribed spacer region". The stretch from base 1 to 46 matches the Rfam family "Eukaryotic small subunit ribosomal RNA", at positions 1786 to 1831 of the family's 1831-position model. Lineage: Eukaryota; Fungi. The record is from RNAcentral.